This 314-nucleotide unclassified non-coding RNA is filed under the name Hevea brasiliensis (rubber tree). The record is from RNAcentral. Lineage: Eukaryota; Viridiplantae; Streptophyta; Magnoliopsida; Malpighiales; Euphorbiaceae.
GUGGCCGGCAUCGCGGGCGCACUGGUAGCCACAUUCGCUAUGUGCGGUCCGUCCGCAGUCUUUGCCUAUUUCGUCAGCAACAUGCUGACGCGGUCAAGCCAAUCCAUCUGGCCCGCGAUCCUUCAGGCCGCGCUGGUUCCGGUCUCGAUCGGGCUGAUGUGCGCCAGCGGCUUUGUUCUCGCAUUAACGACCGGCGGCACGUGGGUCGGGGCGGCCCUUAUUAUUGGCGCGGCGGCGCUUGCAUUGGCGACCCGGCUCAACCCGCUAUGGAUGCUGAUUGUGGGCGGCAUUCUCGGUUUUGCUGGCGUCGUCUG